UCCCCAAAACAUGGUCAGGUCUGUCACAACAAUACCCCACUAUGAUGGUAUCAAUCUGUCUUAGUUAGGGUUUCUAUUGUUGCUAUGAAACACCAUGACCAUAAAGCAAGUUGGGAAGGAAAGGAUUUAUUUGGCUCACACUUCUACAUUGCUGUUAAUCACUGAAGCAAGUCAGAACAGGAACUCAAACAGGACAGAAUCCUGGAGUCAGGAGCUGAUGCAGAGGCCAUGGAGAUGCCUGUUGGUUUUCUAGCAAGAGACAGAAAGCCUGUUGAUCCAGACGGGAGUGGAGAUGAAGAAGAACUGGAAGAGGUGGGUGGGGGGAAACAUCAUCAAUCUAUUUUAUGAAAAAUAUUUAUGUUAAUAAAAGUAAUAGGAAUAAAUUAA
Peromyscus eremicus (cactus mouse) is the source of this 387-nucleotide long non-coding RNA. RefSeq lists it as uncharacterized. NCBI's taxonomy places the organism in Eukaryota, Metazoa, Chordata, Mammalia, Rodentia, Cricetidae. The record is from RefSeq and is a predicted model, not a curated record. The transcript has 2 exons.